Molecule: long non-coding RNA, 390 nt
Organism: Perca fluviatilis (European perch)
Lineage: Eukaryota; Metazoa; Chordata; Actinopteri; Perciformes; Percidae
Exons: 3
Source: RefSeq, a predicted model, not a curated record
AUGGCGGAUAAUAGGGGAAAUAAAGAAACAACAAAAAUAUAUUUAUUAUUUAAAGUGAAAACAAAAUACCCAAACUGACUGAAACCAAAACUUUUGUCGUCGUGAACGCUUCAGCGGCUGUCACAUUGGAAGAAGAUGCAGCUGACCGAUGUGUAGCUAGCUUUUGCUGCCAAGGCUAUCUAGAAUAGCCUACAGCACAGCAGAGCACGUCUAAAAGAGAGAUGGCUCAACAGACGUGCUCGUUAAUUCAUGAACAUUCUGUCGCUGAAAACGCUCACUGGAACCGUUGUGUUGUGGCGAACUGCAGGGAUGCAUCCACAGCGAACACAGAGUGGAUUUUGGAGGCAAGCAAACCCCAAAAUAACUGGAUUGAUAUCCAUCAACUGGAGC